ACGAUGAAGCCCUUCGGGGUGGAUUAGUGGCGAACGGGUGAGUAACACGUGGGCAAUCUGCCCUUCACUCUGGGACAAGCCCUGGAAACGGGGUCUAAUACCGGAUAACACUCUGUCCUGCAUGGGACGGGGUUGAAAGCUCCGGCGGUGAAGGAUGAGCCCGCGGCCUAUCAGCUUGUUGGUGGGGUGAUGGCCUACCAAGGCGACGACGGGUAGCCGGCCUGAGAGGGCGACCGGCCACACUGGGACUGAGACACGGCCCAGACUCCUACGGGAGGCAGCAGUGGGGAAUAUUGCACAAUGGGCGAAAGCCUGAUGCAGCGACGCCGCGUGAGGGAUGACGGCCUUCGGGUUGUAAACCUCUUUCAGCAGGGAAGAAGCGAAAGUGACGGUACCUGCAGAAGAAGCGCCGGCUAACUACGUGCCAGCAGCCGCGG
RNAcentral lists this ribosomal RNA (437 nucleotides) under Streptomyces sanglieri. Its description in RNAcentral is "bacterial SSU rRNA". It matches the Rfam family "Bacterial small subunit ribosomal RNA", at positions 66 to 520 of the family's 1533-position model. The record is from RNAcentral. Lineage: Bacteria; Bacillati; Actinomycetota; Actinomycetes; Kitasatosporales; Streptomycetaceae.